RNAcentral lists this ribosomal RNA (351 nucleotides) under uncultured Latescibacterota bacterium. RNAcentral's name for it is "bacterial SSU rRNA". It matches the Rfam family "Bacterial small subunit ribosomal RNA", at positions 1032 to 1382 of the family's 1533-position model. Lineage: Bacteria; Pseudomonadati; Candidatus Latescibacterota. The record is from RNAcentral.
GCACAGGUGCUGCAUGGCUGUCGUCAGCUCGUGUCGUGAGAUGUUGGGUUAAGUCCCGCAACGAGCGCAACCCUUAUCCCUAGUUGCCAUCAGGUAAAGCUGGGGAACUCUGGGGAGACUGCCGGUGAUAAACCGGAGGAAGGCGGGAUGACGUCAAGUCCUCAUGGCCCUUACAUCCCGGGCUACACACGUGCUACAAUGGCAGGUACAGAGGGCUGCGAAGCCGCGAGGUGGAGCGAAUCCCAGAAAACCUGUCUCAGUCCGGAUUGAAGUCUGCAACUCGACUUCAUGAAGGCGGAAUCGCUAGUAACCGCGAAUCAGCAGGUCGCGGUGAAUACGUUCCCGGGCCUU